UCAAGAGUACGUGAAACCGCUUAGAGGCAAACGGGUGGAACCGCAGUGUCGACUCUUGGAAUUCAACCUGCCGUACGGGACGAUGCUGGGAUAAUUGCGGAGCUUCCAAAGCCCGUUUCUCGGCGUCGAUCUCCGGUCGGUGUGGUGCAUUUUCUUUGAGUCGAGAGCCACGACCGGCUCUUUGGCGGCCAAAAGCCUGGCUGGGAAAGCUGACCUCCGGAAAUUAAAAGCUGGCGGAGUGUAUAGCCCAGCYUGCGUUGGCUCGUCGAAGGGCCGAGGAAAAAAAAGCUUUGCCGCGACUCGUCGCUCUCGGACCAUCUGCGCUCGUCACGACUGGGGUGUACUGCUAGCCAGUGCUCUCCCGACCGCGAGCGUGGAAGGGUUCGUUCGGCGUGAGUUGCUUCGGGCCCGUGGCGAAUCGGUCGGUAACCCACCCGACCCGUCUUGAAACACGGAAA
Molecule: ribosomal RNA, 458 nt
Filed under: Margaritifera togakushiensis
Lineage: Eukaryota; Metazoa; Mollusca; Bivalvia; Unionida; Margaritiferidae
Description: partial 28S ribosomal RNA
Source: RNAcentral